UACGAAGGGUGCAAGCGUUAAUCGGAAUUACUGGGCGUAAAGCGCGCGUAGGCGGUUUGUUAAGUCAGAUGUGAAAUCCCCGGGCUCAACCUGGGAAUGGCAUUUGAGACUGGCAGGCUAGAGUGUGGUAGAGGUGAGUGGAAUUUCAGGUGUAGCGGUGAAAUGCGUAGAGAUCUGAAGGAACAUCAGUGGCGAAGGCGACUCACUGGGCCAUUACUGACGCUGAGGUGCGAAAGCGUGGGUAGCAAACAGG
This 253-nucleotide ribosomal RNA is filed under the name uncultured Methylophaga sp. Its description in RNAcentral is "partial 16S ribosomal RNA". It matches the Rfam family "Bacterial small subunit ribosomal RNA", at positions 524 to 776 of the family's 1533-position model. The record is from RNAcentral. Lineage: Bacteria; Pseudomonadati; Pseudomonadota; Gammaproteobacteria; Thiotrichales; Piscirickettsiaceae.